Long non-coding RNA from Octopus sinensis (East Asian common octopus), 132 nucleotides. RefSeq lists it as uncharacterized. The transcript has 3 exons. The record is from RefSeq and is a predicted model, not a curated record. Lineage: Eukaryota; Metazoa; Mollusca; Cephalopoda; Octopoda; Octopodidae.
GUCGACUCGGAAUUGGUACGGACUGGGGGAAUCCAACUGUCUAAUUAAAACAGAGCAUCGCGUAGCCGGCCGAGCCGCACAGACGCGAUGUGAUUUCUGCCCAAUGCUCUGAAUAGCUGUCGUGUAGGGAGA